GGUCGUGGCUCAGUGGUAGAGUGCUCGCCUAGCACAUGUGAGGCCCUGGUUUCGAUCCUCAGCACCA
This 67-nucleotide transfer RNA is filed under the name Marmota monax (woodchuck). RNAcentral's name for it is "tRNA.Ala". The record is from RNAcentral. Lineage: Eukaryota; Metazoa; Chordata; Mammalia; Rodentia; Sciuridae.